RNAcentral lists this transfer RNA (76 nucleotides) under Deltaproteobacteria bacterium. Its description in RNAcentral is "tRNA-Arg". It matches the Rfam family "tRNA". Rfam says of the family: Transfer RNA (tRNA) molecules are approximately 80 nucleotides in length. Their secondary structure includes four short double-helical elements and three loops (D, anti-codon, and T loops). Further hydrogen bonds mediate the characteristic L-shaped molecular structure. tRNAs have two regions of fundamental functional importance: the anti-codon, which is responsible for specific mRNA codon recognition, and the 3' end, to which the tRNAs corresponding amino acid is attached (by aminoacyl-tRNA synthetases). tRNAs cope with the degeneracy of the genetic code in two manners: having more than one tRNA (with a specific anti-codon) for a particular amino acid; and 'wobble' base-pairing, i.e. permitting non-standard base-pairing at the 3rd anti-codon position. Lineage: Bacteria; Pseudomonadati; Myxococcota; Myxococcia. The record is from RNAcentral.
GCCCCCAUGGCUCAGUGGAUAGAGCGGCGGUUUCCUAAACCGUAGGUCGCAGGUUCGAGUCCUGCUGGGGGCGCCA